AGAAUCAACGCUGGCGGCGUGCCUAACACAUGCAAGUCGAACGAGAAAGGGGAGCAAUCCCUGAGUAAAGUGGCGACCGGGUGAGUAACACGUGACUAACCUACCUUCGAGUGGGGGAUAACCUCGGGAAACCGAGGCUAAUACCGCAUAACAUCGUGAGAUCAAAGCAGUAAUGCGCUGGAAGAGGGGGUCGCGGCUGAUUAGCUAGUUGGCGGGGUAAUGGCCCACCAAGGCGAAGAUCGGUA
RNAcentral lists this ribosomal RNA (245 nucleotides) under uncultured bacterium. RNAcentral's name for it is "partial small subunit ribosomal RNA". It matches the Rfam family "Bacterial small subunit ribosomal RNA", at positions 26 to 285 of the family's 1533-position model. The record is from RNAcentral.